GCGUUGUCCGGAAUUAUUGGGCGUAAAGAGCUCGUAGGCGGUCUGUCGCGUCGAAUGUGAAACCCCGAGGCUCAACUUCGGGCCUGCAUUCGAUACGGGCAGACUAGAGUUCGGUAGGGGAGUCUGGAAUUCCUGGUGUAGCGGUGAAAUGCGCAGAUAUCAGGAGGAACACCGGUGGCGAAGGCGGGACUCUGGGCCGAUACUGACGCUGAGGAGCGAAAGCGUG
This 226-nucleotide ribosomal RNA is filed under the name uncultured bacterium. RNAcentral's name for it is "partial 16S ribosomal RNA". It matches the Rfam family "Bacterial small subunit ribosomal RNA", at positions 538 to 763 of the family's 1533-position model. The record is from RNAcentral.